AACCACACUAUUAAUAAAUAGAUUCACCCGCGAGAUGACAUGCAUGGUUGUUUCAUUUAGAACAAGGAUAUGGCAUCCUAUUACCAACCAUCGCACGAAAUUAAUAGGAUGUCACGUCCUUAUCCUAGAUGGAACAACCACGCCAUCUCAAGGGUUAAUCCAUUCAUCGAUAGUGUGGUU
MicroRNA precursor from Oryza rufipogon (brownbeard rice), 180 nucleotides. It matches the Rfam family "MIR807 microRNA precursor family". The record is from Rfam. NCBI's taxonomy places the organism in Eukaryota, Viridiplantae, Streptophyta, Magnoliopsida, Poales, Poaceae.